CGUGAGGGAAGUGGGGAGAAGCUGUCACCCCAACUUGAGUUCAAGAAGACUCCUUGGAAGAAAAGACCACCAAAUUGAGAAUGAAAAGUAAGCUGUAGCUAUUCUUGGGAUGGGGCAGUGGCCCCAUGCUCUGGUCCCUGGCCUCAGCAGCUGUCCCAGCUCAUAACCCCAAGUGCCGGCUUUCCCAUCCCGUCUCAGGAUCUGCACUCGACGGGCACCAGGGCUUUCUUCAGCGAAUAUCUAAACUCUCUCAAGUUUCUCCAGAGACUUUCAUACAUCUACAAAGAUGACCUCAUUCUGUAACAGCAUGGAUUUAACCCGCUCUUCAAUGUCACUCCCCCACAGAAUGCACUGUUCAUCGUCACCCUAUCCACUAUCGUCAGUCUUACUAAAAGUCAAACAUCAACAUUAGUAGUAACUCUGGCAUUGUAGCGAUAUCUCCAAGAGAAAAUUGUUUUGAACUUUUCUGGGAAAAGUUCACAUAUGUUUUCUUAAAACGCUAGUUUUUACAAUCUCGCUACCAUGUGGCUUUCCUGAAGGAUUAAAUUUCUAAUGUCCUUCAACUAGAGAGAGGUAAAAAUUUUUCUAGAACAUGAAUUGCCCACUCCCCUCAUUCCUUCUCAGAAACUAACUGAAUUCCAGUGGGUGUGCCUGGCAAACCCAAAAGCAGUUUCUGUUCAGGAUGCUGGUCUUACCUGUGAAGGCGUUCAUGAACGUGGAGAGGGACCGGUUCAACAUUUUGAAGAAAGGGUCUCUGCACGGAUAUUUCUGAGACCCACAAAGGACGGUAUGCUCAAGAAUGUGAGGAACACCAGUACUGUCCAUGGGAGUAGUACGGAACUGCACGCUAGGGAAGGAGAAUGACCAGAACGCAAAAGGUUCAGCUUAGUGCUGCGGACACAGUUCCCAGAUGCAUCAUCACCUCAGGCUACUAGAAAUCAUCAUUCUGACACCACAAUCCUCCAGCACAGGGUUUUCCAACUAUAAUGUAAAUCAUUGACUCAGACUGUAAAAUUGUAUUUUGAUGAGAUUAUAAGUCAGUGUAAACUUUUCCUUAUUUUUCAAGAUGCUCUGUCAAUAAAAAUACUAGUGAGAUGAUAUUU
Molecule: long non-coding RNA, 1103 nt
Filed under: Homo sapiens (human)
Lineage: Eukaryota; Metazoa; Chordata; Mammalia; Primates; Hominidae
Description: HSALNT0157615
Source: RNAcentral